CAGUAGCCGCGGGAAUACGGAGGGUGCAAGCGUUAUCCGGAUUUAUUGGGUUUAAAGGGUCCGUAGGCGGAUCUGUAAGUCAGUGGUGAAAUCUCACAGCUUAACUGUGAAACUGCCAUUGAUACUGCAGUUCUUGAGUAAAUUUGAAGUGGCUGGAAUAAGUAGUGUAGCGGUGAAAUGCAUAGAUAUUACUUAGAACACCAAUUGCGAAGGCAGGUCACUAAGAUUUAACUGACGCUGAUGGACGAAAGCGUGGGGAGCGAACAGGAUUAGAGACCCGAGUAGUCCCUGUCUCUUAUAC
RNAcentral lists this ribosomal RNA (301 nucleotides) under uncultured bacterium. Its description in RNAcentral is "partial 16S ribosomal RNA". It matches the Rfam family "Bacterial small subunit ribosomal RNA", at positions 509 to 807 of the family's 1533-position model. The record is from RNAcentral.